Molecule: transfer RNA, 87 nt
Filed under: Tepidanaerobacter sp.
Lineage: Bacteria; Bacillati; Bacillota; Clostridia; Thermosediminibacterales; Tepidanaerobacteraceae
Also listed under: 3 other names
Description: tRNA-Leu
Rfam family: tRNA
About the family: Transfer RNA (tRNA) molecules are approximately 80 nucleotides in length. Their secondary structure includes four short double-helical elements and three loops (D, anti-codon, and T loops).
Source: RNAcentral
GCCGAAGUGGUGGAAUUGGCAGACGCGCUAGAUUCAGGGUCUAGUGCCCGCAAGGGCGUGCAGGUUCGAAUCCUGUCUUCGGCACCA